This 383-nucleotide ribosomal RNA is filed under the name uncultured eukaryote. Its description in RNAcentral is "partial 18S ribosomal RNA". It matches the Rfam family "Eukaryotic small subunit ribosomal RNA", at positions 592 to 976 of the family's 1831-position model. The record is from RNAcentral.
CAAUAGCGUAUAUUAAAGUUGUUGCAGUUAAAAAGCUCGUAGUUGGAUUUCUGGCAGGAGCGACCGGUCACACACUCUGUGUGUGAACUUGCGUUGUCUCUGGCCAUCCUUGGGAAGAUCCUGUUUGGCAUUAAGUUGUCGGGCAGGGGAUACCCAUCGUUUACUGUGAAAAAAUUAGAGUGUUUAAAGCAGGCUUAUGCCGUUGAAUAUAUUAGCAUGGAAUAAUAAGAUAGGACUUCGGAACUAUUUUGUUGGUUUGCGUUACGAAGUAAUGAUUAAUAGGGACAGUUGGGGGUAUUCGUAUUUCGUUGUCAGAGGUGAAAUUCUUGGAUUUCCGAAAGACGAACUACUGCGAAANCANNNACCAAGGAUGUUUUCAUNAA